Molecule: ribosomal RNA, 433 nt
Filed under: uncultured organism
Description: bacterial SSU rRNA
Rfam family: Bacterial small subunit ribosomal RNA
Source: RNAcentral
AACGAACGCUGGCGGCAUGCCUAAUACAUGCAAGUCGAACGAUCACUUCGGUGGUAGUGGCGCACGGGUGCGUAACGCGUGGGAAUCUGCCCUUGGGUUCGGAAUAACGUUUGGAAACGGACGCUAAUACCGGAUGAUGACGAAAGUCCAAAGAUUUAUCGCCCAGGGAUGAGCCCGCGUAGGAUUAGCUAGUUGGUGGGGUAAAGGCUCACCAAGGCGACGAUCCUUAGCUGGUCUGAGAGGAUGAUCAGCCACACUGGGACUGAGACACGGCCCAGACUCCUACGGGAGGCAGCAGUAGGGAAUAUUGGACAAUGGGGGCAACCCUGAUCCAGCAAUGCCGCGUGAGUGAUGAAGGCCUUAGGGUUGUAAAGCUCUUUUACCCGAGAUGAUAAUGACAGUAUCGGGAGAAUAAGCUCCGGCUAACUCCGUG